RNAcentral lists this long non-coding RNA (240 nucleotides) under Capsicum annuum. RNAcentral describes it as "long non-coding RNA (CANN_LNC001965)". The record is from RNAcentral. Lineage: Eukaryota; Viridiplantae; Streptophyta; Magnoliopsida; Solanales; Solanaceae.
GGGCAUCUAUAAGAAAUCUAUAAAUAACAAAAAUGAGGAAAAAUACAUAAAAUAACCUGGAAGGUCAUUACACUGGAAUGGCAAGUAAUAGGGUAAUUGAUGAAAGAUAAUAAAUAUGAAGGAAACGGUCAUACACUGGAGCUACUAAGUAACAACAUUCAUUAUAUAAAUCUAUAUCCAUAUAAAUAUAUACAUACACACAUACAUAUAUAUAUGUAUAUGUGUGUAUGUAUGUAUAUA